CAUGAAUUUUGUAAACUGCACUAGAGUCUCUCAUAGACGUGAUGUAACUCUACGUCUGUCGGACAUGGGAGUGAUUCGAUGUUACUUAGGAGAUGAACCACAAAGAGGAAACAGCAGCAUCACAUACAGAUGAAUAAAAACCUCAUACAACAUCCGUCGGUCACAGAGGACGGACACAGAAUGGCUCCGCUGGCACUGAUCCUUAUUUUUCUGCUUCACUUUGAAGCAGGUCUUAGUGGAAAACUUUAUUAUCUCUAUCACACACCUGGACAAGACGUCACUAUGACCUGUGCCAAUGUUUCUGACAGAAAAUGCUCCAACAUCAACUGGCUUUAUAACGCCCCUCAGACUGAGACUAUAUAUGACGUUCAGGAUGGAAACAUUAUAAAGAGCUCAGUUCGAGCUGCCAGGCUGAGUCUGGGCCCUGACUGCUCUGUGGUCAUCAGAAACAUCACUGCUGAGGAUGUAGGUCUGUACACCUGUCGGCGAGGGAGGAACCCUGGACAGGAUGCCUUCACAUAUCUAAGUGUUCUGACAAUCUCUCUGUUUCCUCCAGACACUGGUCCACAGAUGGAUGAAGUGACAUUACAGUGCUCUCUGCUGAGAUUCAGUAAAUAUGUUCGCUGUCGAGAGAACAGCUUCAGCUGGAUGGACGAGGCAGGAACGCUGCUGCUUGGUGAACAGUCCCAGUCUGAGACCCAAUGUGUGUCUCGUCUGACUGUGAAGCGUCAGAGCCUUGACAUCAGGACGUACACCUGCUGGUUUGUUGAUGAGGAGAACAAAGUGAAGAUACAGACUGAAUACACACGUAUCCUCACCACAGAUAAAACCUACAUCUACGUUGGUGCAGCAGUCGGGCUGCUGCUGCUGCUGCUGCUGCUGCUGCUCAUCAUCACUGCUGUUUUCAUCAAAUACAGGACAGGAGCCAAAGUGGAUGUUCAACAACUAGCCCAAACCCCUAAUGAGCAUGAGGGAAAUGUGACCUAUGUGACUGUUGGCCACGUUAAUCAAGUGGACUCUGUGAGAAAGGUCAAAGAAGAGGAGAAGGCCAUUUAUUCUACGGUCAAGACAUCAUAA
This is a long non-coding RNA of Mastacembelus armatus (zig-zag eel), 1077 nucleotides long. Ensembl lists it as uncharacterized. Lineage: Eukaryota; Metazoa; Chordata; Actinopteri; Synbranchiformes; Mastacembelidae. The record is from Ensembl.